This is a non-coding RNA of Pelobates cultripes (western spadefoot toad), 93 nucleotides long. NCBI's taxonomy places the organism in Eukaryota, Metazoa, Chordata, Amphibia, Anura, Pelobatidae. The record is from the annotation of a GenBank genome assembly.
CCCCAGAUGUUGCUGAACUACAACUCUCAUGAUUCCCUGGCUAUUUUUUUAAUUGAAAGAAUCAUGGGAGUUGUAGUUCAGCAACAUCUGGGG